RNAcentral lists this unclassified non-coding RNA (386 nucleotides) under fungal sp. Its description in RNAcentral is "partial internal transcribed spacer region". The stretch from base 1 to 46 matches the Rfam family "Eukaryotic small subunit ribosomal RNA", at positions 1786 to 1831 of the family's 1831-position model. Lineage: Eukaryota; Fungi. The record is from RNAcentral.
AAGUCGUAACAAGGUUUCCGUAGGUGAACCUGCGGAAGGAUCAUUAACACGUUAUACACGUAACUACAUCUCCGCGAACCUAUUUUUGUUUACAAUAAGUUGGUUGGCCAGCGUAGCAAUGGAGGUAGAUGCUUUACUAUGUCAACUUAGGCUCUUGGACUGUCCGGAGUUCUUCGUUGUUCUACCUGCCUAUCCACCAAAAACAAUUAAAUUGUUUGCCUGGUGGGUAUUCUGGCUCAUAUGACUUGAAUCAUAGUAGUAUUCUCUAUUCACCUUUUUUAUUAAUGUUGUAAUUUGUGAUGGUUGUGUGGGGGGAUUAAAACCCUCUCUCGCAGCUCACGUUAAAUAAACACUAUACAACUCUUAGCAACGGAUAUCUCGGUUCU